This 504-nucleotide unclassified non-coding RNA is filed under the name Centruroides sculpturatus (bark scorpion). RNAcentral's name for it is "uncharacterized LOC111616152, transcript variant X2". The record is from RNAcentral. Lineage: Eukaryota; Metazoa; Arthropoda; Arachnida; Scorpiones; Buthidae.
AAACAAGUCUACUGUACUUUGCUCUCAUCUUUUCGAAAAUGAAAUUUGCGUUGAAACUGUUUUAUUCUUCAAUGUGUCUUAGCUUCACUUUCCUUUGUAUCGUAGCCGGAUUUCUGUUUUCUGCUUUUACAUCUACUAUGCAAACGUCCUUUCAAGAUAUCAGAAGAUUUGCUGGCUGCGAUCUCAAAUUGGAACAAAAGUUAAAGAUGGGAAGUUCUUUACACACUAUAUUUUCUGGUCUUUUGAAUAUAAAGAAAGUUUCGUAGAUAAAAUUUAACAAACAUGUUAAAAAGACCAAAGUGAUGACAAGCUCAUACAAAAAGACAUGGAAAACGGGGUACCCCUUGAAUUAUGGUGAGACUAACCUGAGGACCCAGGAUCCAAGAGUUAUAACAGUAUGUCGAAUCUAGAAAAUGUCCGCAAUGCUUCUAAGUAUAUGAAUCAUAAUCAAAUUAUGUGACUUUCCAAUUUUGUAUCUCUUUUAUAUCUCAGAUACUGUUAAUA